GACGAACGCUGGCGGCGUGCUUAACACAUGCAAGUCGAACGGUGAAGCGCCUUCCUUUUUGGUGGGUGUGGAUGAGUGGCGAACGGGUGAGUAACACGUGAGUAACCUGCCCCCUUCUUCUGGAUAACCGCAUGAAAGUGUGGCUAAUACGGGAUAUUCUGUGUCUGUCGCAUGAUGGGUCUGGGAAAGAUAUUGUUUCGGUGGGGGAUGGGCUCGCGGCCUAUCAGCUUGUUGGUGGGGUGAUGGCCUACCAAGGCGGUGACGGGUAGCCGGCCUGAGAGGGUGGACGGUCACACUGGGACUGAGACACGGCCCAGACUCCUACGGGAGGCAGCAGUGGGGAAUAGUGCACAAUGGGCGCAAGCCUGAUGCAGCGACGCCGCGUGAGGGAUGGAGGCCUUCGGGUUGUGAACCUCUUUCGCCAGUGAAGCAGGCCUGCCUCGUUUGUGGGUGGGUUGACGGUAGCUGGAUAAGAAGCGCCGGCUAACUACGUG
This 494-nucleotide ribosomal RNA is filed under the name uncultured bacterium. RNAcentral describes it as "partial 16S ribosomal RNA". It matches the Rfam family "Bacterial small subunit ribosomal RNA", at positions 28 to 507 of the family's 1533-position model. The record is from RNAcentral.